Molecule: ribosomal RNA, 1007 nt
Filed under: Pseudoniphargus mateusorum
Lineage: Eukaryota; Metazoa; Arthropoda; Malacostraca; Amphipoda; Allocrangonyctidae
Description: 16S ribosomal RNA
Rfam family: Archaeal large subunit ribosomal RNA (bases 610-964)
Source: RNAcentral
UUGCUUUUGCUUGUAUUUUAAGUAAGAAUUGAUUAUAGUACCUUUUGUAUCAGGGUUAUUUAAUUAAAUAAGUGAUUUAUAUUUCUCGAUAUUAAGUGAGUUAAAUAAUAUUUUUUGUGUUGAAUAACUAUAUUAAUUUAUUUAGUAGUGAAAAUUUUUCGUAGUUUAAGGUAUCUUGUUAUUUUAUUGCUAUAAUAGGAGGGUAAGCUUUUUAUUAGGGUAUAUUGUAGGGGUAUGUGUGAUAAAUUAGGCUUAAGAUUAGCUAUAUUAUUAAAUUGUUUUAAAUUUCUUAUUUUGGCGCCCAGGGCAUUGUUUACAGGAGUAAUUGUCGAUUUUUGGGCAGGAGAAUUUAUAAUAAAUAAAUUAGUAUUUUUAUUUUUCUAUAAAUUAUAACUCGUGGUUUGUAGAAUAGUUUAUCAAAAACAUUUUUUUAUUUUUAUGAAAUAAGGCCUGCCCGGUGUAGUAUAAACGGCUGCGGUAUUUUGACUGUGCUAAGGUAGCAUAAUAAUUUGUUUUUUAAUUGGAAACUGGAAUGAAGGGUUUUAUCUACAAUUUGUUUAAGUUAUAGAGUGAAUAAUUUGUGUUUUCAGUAAAAACACUGUAAUUUUAUAAAGUGACGAUAAGACCCUAUAAGCUUUACUUGUUGAGUAAAUAGAGCUAAUGAUUUAAUGUUUUUUUAUUUGUUGAGUUUUGCUGGGGCAGCAAUGUUAUAUUAUUUAAUAUAAAAAAUACACGGGUUUGUGGAGAUAUGAUCUUUAAUAUUAAGAUAAGAAGAAGGAGUUACUGUAGGGAUAACAGCGCGAUAAUUUUGGAGAGGCCUUAUUGAUAAAAUUGAUUGCGACCUCGAUGUUGAAUUAAAAUUUCUUUUUGCUGCAGCAGGCAAUGAAGAGGGUUUGUUCAACCUUUUAAAUUUUACAUGAUUUGAGUUCAAAUCGGUUUAAGCCAGAUUGGUUUCUAUCUUUUAUUUAAGAUAAUUUGUGUUAGUACGAAAGGGACACGCAAGUUUU